Mycena crocata is the source of this 75-nucleotide non-coding RNA. Lineage: Eukaryota; Fungi; Basidiomycota; Agaricomycetes; Agaricales; Mycenaceae. The record is from the annotation of a GenBank genome assembly.
UCAGAUAUGGUGUAACGGUAACAUUGCCCCCUGUUUCUACAAGGGCCGUCCUGGGUUCGACUCCAGGUGUCUGAC